AACGCUGCAGCGUUGUUCGAGGAAGGGCUGGCCAAAAAAAACCCAAACCAAACCAAACUCCUCUGCCCUGUUAAAGAGAGUGCUGGCGUAACUCUAGGAGCACGAACUACAAGAAGUGUUUCACGUCUGCGCCGCACAAAAGCCACGCGGGACGCAAACGCGACCCCCUCCGCGCCGGCGGCCCCUCAGCGCAGCGCCGCGCCCCUGGCCGCGACCCCGCCCGCCCCGAGCAGCGCCGCGGGGACGCACCUAACGGCCGGACCAACAGGCAGCAACGACGGGCAGCAACGACUCGCGGCAACGGCUCGCGCAACRGCUCCCGGCCGGCGGCGAACGCCCCCCCCCGCACCCGGGAUUUUGACCCGGCGGGCGGACUGGGAGCGCCGGCACCAACUUCCUCCUGGAGUGCCGGGCAGAGGCGGCAGCCUGCUCGCCCAGGCCCGCCGCCUCCGCGCACCCGGCUCCCCGCGGGCCGCCCCGCCCGCCCGCAGGUGCGCCGCGCCGCGCUCUUUACGCUCCCCCCCGCGGCCCGCGGGGCCCCGACCCCCUCCCCGCGGAGCUGGGGAACAAACUUGGCUCCCCCGGCCCGCGCCGGGCAGCCCCUCUCCCCCGGAAGGCGCCCGGCGGCAGCACCCCGCCGCCGCGGCCACUCACCCCUCGCAAACCGCGGCCGGGAGGCAGAGGCGGACCCGCUUCCCCGCGGCGCCCCAGCUGGCCCGCCCGCCCGCCGGCUCCUCCCCGCGCCCCGUCCCCAGGCGGCGGCGGCGGCUCCCCGGCGCUGACGGACCCACAACUUUUUGUGCGAGCCGCUGCCGUCCCUCCUCCCUGCCCGCGCGCCCGCCCUGCCCGCGCGGCUCCUCCCCCGGCCACCGGCCCCCUUUGUUNCGAAUGCCCAGUUUAACCAGGCGGCCCCCAAAAACAGCAGGAUCGGGCCGGGGAAGAAACCCACUUCUGACCCGGCACCUCAGCUGGCACGGCGGCCAUCCCCCCGGCAUCGGGUCAGCGGCGACCCGAGCCCAGCCGUGCCUCAGUUUCCCCCCCUUUCACUGCCGGACGGAGCCGUGCCUCAGUUUCCCUCCCUUCUCCAACAGACGGAGCCGUGCCUCAGUUUCCCUCCCCUCUCCGACGGAUGGAUCCGAGCCCGGGGAUGCCGGGGAUGCCGGUGCCGCCGUUACCUGGCCCUCGGGGACGGCGCGCAGGUAG
Molecule: long non-coding RNA, 1203 nt
Filed under: Apteryx haastii (Great spotted kiwi)
Lineage: Eukaryota; Metazoa; Chordata; Aves; Apterygiformes; Apterygidae
Description: lncRNA (ENSAHAG00000018083.1)
Source: RNAcentral